Molecule: ribosomal RNA, 476 nt
Filed under: Shigella boydii
Lineage: Bacteria; Pseudomonadati; Pseudomonadota; Gammaproteobacteria; Enterobacterales; Enterobacteriaceae
Description: bacterial SSU rRNA
Rfam family: Bacterial small subunit ribosomal RNA
Source: RNAcentral
CCGCAUAACGUCGCAAGACCAAAGAGGGGGACCUUCGGGCCUCUUGCCAUCGGAUGUGCCCAGAUGGGAUUAGCUUGUUGGUGGGGUAACGGCUCACCAAGGCGACGAUCCCUAGCUGGUCUGAGAGGAUGACCAGCCACACUGGAACUGAGACACGGUCCAGACUCCUACGGGAGGCAGCAGUGGGGAAUAUUGCACAAUGGGCGCAAGCCUGAUGCAGCCAUGCCGCGUGUAUGAAGAAGGCCUUCGGGUUGUAAAGUACUUUCAGCGGGGAGGAAGGGAGUAAAGUUAAUACCUUUGCUCAUUGACGUUACCCGCAGAAGAAGCACCGGCUAACUCCGUGCCAGCAGCCGCGGUAAUACGGAGGGUGCAAGCGUUAAUCGGAAUUACUGGGCGUAAAGCGCACGCAGGCGGUUUGUUAAGUCAGAUGUGAAAUCCCCGGGCUCAACCUGGGAACUGCAUCUGAUACUGGCAAG